This 100-nucleotide small RNA is filed under the name Peptoclostridium litorale. RNAcentral describes it as "Clostridium litorale Guanidine-I sequence". It matches the Rfam family "Guanidine-I riboswitch aptamer". From Rfam's summary of the family: This family represents a conserved RNA structure found upstream of the ykkC and yxkD genes in Bacillus subtilis and related genes in other bacteria. The function of this family is unclear although it has been suggested that it may function to switch on efflux pumps and detoxification systems in response to harmful environmental molecules. The record is from RNAcentral. RNAcentral also lists the same sequence under 1 other name. Lineage: Bacteria; Bacillati; Bacillota; Clostridia; Peptostreptococcales; Peptoclostridiaceae.
GUUAAAGUUUUAUAGGGUUCCGUAGUUUAAAUAACUGGUCUGGUCCAAGAUAAAACGCAUAGUUUUGCUGUGUACACGGAAGGAUAAAAGCCUGGGAGAU